CGCACGGUGGAUGCCUUGGCACUAGAAGCCGAUGAAGGACGUUACUAACGACGAUAUGCUUUGGGGAGCUGUAAGUAAGCUUUGAUCCAGAGAUUUCCGAAUGGGGAAACCCAGCAUGAGUUAUGUCAUGUUAUCGAUAUGUGAAUACAUAGCAUAUCAGAAGGCACACCCGGAGAACUGAAACAUCUUAGUACCCGGAGGAAGAGAAAGAAAAUUCGAUUCCCUUAGUAGCGGCGAGCGAAACGGGAAGAGCCCAAACCAACAAGCUUGCUUGUUGGGGUUGUAGGACACUCUAUACGGAGUUACAAAGGACGACAUUAGACGAAUCAUCUGGAAAGAUGAAUCAAAGAAGGUAAUAAUCCUGUAGUCGAAAAUGUUGUCUCUCUUGAGUGGAUCCUGAGUACGACGGAGCACGUGAAAUUCCGUCGGAAUCUGGGAGGACCAUCUCCUAAGGCUAAAUACUCUCUAGUGACCGAUAGUGAACCAGUACCGUGAGGGAAAGGUGAAAAGCACCCCGGAAGGGGAGUGAAAUAGAACCUGAAACCGUGUGCUUACAAGUAGUCAGAGCCCGUUAAUGGGUGAUGGCGUGCCUUUUGUAGAAUGAACCGGCGAGUUACGAUUUGAUGCAAGGUUAAGCAGUAAAUGUGGAGCCGUAGCGAAAGCGAGUCUGAAUAGGGCGUUUAGUAUUUGGUCGUAGACCCGAAACCAGGUGAUCUACCCUUGGUCAGGUUGAAGUUCAGGUAACACUGAAUGGAGGACCGAACCGACUUACGUUGAAAAGUGAGCGGAUGAACUGAGGGUAGCGGAGAAAUUCCAAUCGAACCUGGAGAUAGCUGGUUCUCUCCGAAAUAGCUUUAGGGCUAGCCUCAAGUGAUGAUUAUUGGAGGUAGAGCACUGUUUGGACGAGGGGCCCCUCUCGGGUUACCGAAUUCAGACAAACUCCGAAUGCCAAUUAAUUUAACUUGGGAGUCAGAACAUGGGUGAUAAGGUCCGUGUUCGAAAGGGAAACAGCCCAGACCACCAGCUAAGGUCCCAAAAUAUAUGUUAAGUGGAAAAGGAUGUGGCGUUGCCCAGACAACUAGGAUGUUGGCUUAGAAGCAGCCAUCAUUUAAAGAGUGCGUAAUAGCUCACUAGUCGAGUGACACUGCGCCGAAAAUGUACCGGGGCUAAACAUAUUACCGAAGCUGUGGAUUGUCCUUUGGACAAUGGUAGGAGAGCGUUCUAAGGGCGUUGAAGCAUGAUCGUAAGGACAUGUGGAGCGCUUAGAAGUGAGAAUGCCGGUGUGAGUAGCGAAAGACGGGUGAGAAUCCCGUCCACCGAUUGACUAAGGUUUCCAGAGGAAGGCUCGUCCGCUCUGGGUUAGUCGGGUCCUAAGCUGAGGCCGACAGGCGUAGGCGAUGGAUAACAGGUUGAUAUUCCUGUACCACCUAUAAUCGUUUUAAUCGAUGGGGGGACGCAGUAGGAUAGGCGAAGCGUGCGAUUGGAUUGCACGUCUAAGCAGUAAGGCUGAGUAUUAGGCAAAUCCGGUACUCGUUAAGGCUGAGCUGUGAUGGGGAGAAGACAUUGUGUCUUCGAGUCGUUGAUUUCACACUGCCGAGAAAAGCCUCUAGAUAGAAAAUAGGUGCCCGUACCGCAAACCGACACAGGUAGUCAAGAUGAGAAUUCUAAGGUGAGCGAGCGAACUCUCGUUAAGGAACUCGGCAAAAUGACCCCGUAACUUCGGGAGAAGGGGUGCUCUUUAGGGUUAACGCCCAGAAGAGCCGCAGUGAAUAGGCCCAAGCGACUGUUUAUCAAAAACACAGGUCUCUGCUAAACCGUAAGGUGAUGUAUAGGGGCUGACGCCUGCCCGGUGCUGGAAGGUUAAGAGGAGUGGUUAGCUUCUGCGAAGCUACGAAUCGAAGCCCCAGUAAACGGCGGCCGUAACUAUAACGGUCCUAAGGUAGCGAAAUUCCUUGUCGGGUAAGUUCCGACCCGCACGAAAGGCGUAACGAUUUGGGCACUGUCUCAACGAGAGACUCGGUGAAAUCAUAGUACCUGUGAAGAUGCAGGUUACCCGCGACAGGACGGGAAGACCCCGUGGAGCUUUACUGUAGCCUGAUAUUGAAAUUCGGCACAGCUUGUACAGGAUAGGUAGGAGCCUUUGAAACGUGAGCGCUAGCUUACGUGGAGGCGCUGGUGGGAUACUACCCUAGCUGUGUUGGCUUUCUAACCCGCACCACUUAUCGUGGUGGGAGACAGUGUCAGGCGGGCAGUUUGACUGGGGCGGUCGCCUCCUAAAAGGUAACGGAGGCGCUCAAAGGUUCCCUCAGAAUGGUUGGAAAUCAUUCAUAGAGUGUAAAGGCAUAAGGGAGCUUGACUGCGAGACCUACAAGUCGAGCAGGGUCGAAAGACGGACUUAGUGAUCCGGUGGUUCCGCAUGGAAGGGCCAUCGCUCAACGGAUAAAAGCUACCCCGGGGAUAACAGGCUUAUCUCCCCCAAGAGUUCACAUCGACGGGGAGGUUUGGCACCUCGAUGUCGGCUCAUCGCAUCCUGGGGCUGUAGUCGGUCCCAAGGGUUGGGCUGUUCGCCCAUUAAAGCGGUACGCGAGCUGGGUUCAGAACGUCGUGAGACAGUUCGGUCCCUAUCCGUCGUGGGCGUAGGAAAUUUGAGAGGAGCUGUCCUUAGUACGAGAGGACCGGGAUGGACAUACCUCUGGUGUACCAGUUGUCGUGCCAACGGCAUAGCUGGGUAGCUAUGUGUGGACGGGAUAAGUGCUGAAAGCAUCUAAGCAUGAAGCCCCCCUCAAGAUGAGAUUUCCCAACUUCGGUUAUAAGAUCCCUCAAAGAUGAUGAGGUUAAUAGGUUCGAGGUGGAAGCAUGGUGACAUGUGGAGCUGACGAAUACUAAUCGAUCGAAGACUUAAUCAA
Molecule: ribosomal RNA, 2906 nt
Filed under: Staphylococcus aureus
Lineage: Bacteria; Bacillati; Bacillota; Bacilli; Caryophanales; Staphylococcaceae
Description: partial 23S ribosomal RNA
Rfam family: Bacterial large subunit ribosomal RNA
Source: RNAcentral